AUUGAACGCUGGCGGAAUGCUUUACACAUGCAAGUCGAACGGCAGCACGGGGGCAGCCCUGGUGGCGAGUGGCGAACGGGUGAGUAAUACAUCGGAACGUGCCCGGUCGUGGGGGAGAACGUAGCGAAAGUUACGCUAAUACCGCAUACGAUCUGAGGAUGAAAGCGGGGGACCGUCGGGCCUCGCGCGAUCGGAGCGGCCGAUGUCAGGUUAGGUAGUUGGUGGGGUAAAGGCCGACCAAGCCGACGAUCUGUAGCUGGUCUGAGAGGGCGACCGGCCACACUGGGACUGAGCCACGCCCCAGACUCCUACGGGAGGCAGCAGUGGGGAAUUUUGGACAAUGGGCGCAAGCCUGAUCCAGCCAUUCCGCGUGCAGGACGAAGGCCUUCGGGUUGUAAACUGCUUUUGUACGGAACGAAAAGGCUCUGGCUAAUACCUGGGGCUCAUGACGGUACCGUAAGAAUAAGCACCGGCUAACUACGUG
This 484-nucleotide ribosomal RNA is filed under the name uncultured bacterium. RNAcentral describes it as "partial 16S ribosomal RNA". It matches the Rfam family "Bacterial small subunit ribosomal RNA", at positions 29 to 507 of the family's 1533-position model. The record is from RNAcentral.